Molecule: long non-coding RNA, 242 nt
Filed under: Mus spicilegus (steppe mouse)
Lineage: Eukaryota; Metazoa; Chordata; Mammalia; Rodentia; Muridae
Description: lncRNA (ENSMSIG00000009603.1)
Source: RNAcentral
CAAAGAGUGUGGAUUUCACUCUGGAAGUCUUUCUGUUGUGAUUAUACAAAAUUAACUCGAGCCCCCCUCCCCCACCUCCCUUUUAAAGCUUAUCUUCUUUUUUGAUCUGAGAAUUCCAAGUAGUGAAUGAAGCCAGAGAAUCCUUAUUUGCUGUGAACCAAGUGAGAAAAUAGGCCCACAGAGCAGACGCUCAAGAGAUCAGUGUGAAUUUUGCUCCAGUAUGGCAGCUCUGGAGGAUGGUG